RNAcentral lists this long non-coding RNA (1174 nucleotides) under Anas zonorhyncha (Eastern spot-billed duck). RNAcentral describes it as "lncRNA (ENSAZOG00000015920.1)". Lineage: Eukaryota; Metazoa; Chordata; Aves; Anseriformes; Anatidae. The record is from RNAcentral.
AUGCAUCAGUGCCUUACAAAGUUAGCAUUCCCUCAAAUAUUUACUGGCAGCAUUGUAAAGACCAGGAAAAAAAAAANNNNNNNNNNUACAAAGUUAGCAUUCCCUCAAAUAUUUAUUGGCAACGUUGUAAACACCAGAAAAAAAAAUCUUCAGCUGCAGUUUUCUGCAGUACAAAUCCAAACAAACACUGUCCUACCUUCACUGCUCCACACCUAAGCCUCCUCCAGCUCUGCAUCUGCAGAGGCUCACUGGCUUGAAGACAGUAUCAUUCUCAAGCACCAGGCUCAAGUGCUUGUUAAGGGAUGAGCCUUGGAAAGGUUCCCCCUUUAUCAAUAGCUCUGUAUGAAUAGUUUCAGUCUUGCUAAUGGCCUUGGAGGCAGAGAGAGAGAAGCCUUUUCAUUCAGAGGUCAACCCUGAACAAACACAGCAGUGCCCUGUCUCCCGAUUCAGAUAAGGGUCAACAGCCAUUCAUUUCCCCUAAUCAGAUCCGAGUAGAAACUUGCUCUGUCGCAACUAUAUUACCUUCCUGUUUUCCUCCCAGGCCCCAGGAAUAAGUAGGUAUUGAUAGCUGAGCUCAAAUCCAUGUUUCUUGAAGCACUACAGAAGCAGUGGAUUGGCAAAAUGUUACACACAAGCGUGGGAUGCUGUUCGAUAAGAGAUCUGAGGAUGUGUUUAGAGGAAGAGGCACAUACCUGAAGCACUUAUUUCAUAAAUAUGUGCCUCUGGCAUGCUUCUUCCAGGCAUUCAGGAGCAUGACAUGGAAAUGGCUUGUUCCAGGUGACCUCAACCCCCUAAGCAGCAGCUAUUAGAGACCUUCCAGUGACCCUAAAAGGCCUUGCAGGCUGCCUGGUGCUAACCACUGUGCUAACUGCACAGAGGGGAAAAAGUUAAAUGAAGUUAUUGACCCAUCUAAAAAGCAAAGCAUAGACACCUCUGGGAAAAACAAACAAACAAACAAAACCAAUGCAGGACAGAACUCUUAAAGGGAAAGAAGACCCAGCCUUAAUGCUGUUGUUCUCCAUCCCUAUUUGCGUACUCUUCUAAGCUCAUCCUCCUGUCACACAGGCCUUCUACUACAUCUUCUACAAAUGCCAUUUGUCAGACAGGGAAUAAGCCGCAGAACAUCCAGCACACAGUUUUCAAUUUUUUUACAAAAGCCACUAUGCAGAGAAGA